RNAcentral lists this ribosomal RNA (477 nucleotides) under uncultured bacterium. RNAcentral's name for it is "partial 16S ribosomal RNA". It matches the Rfam family "Bacterial small subunit ribosomal RNA", at positions 28 to 507 of the family's 1533-position model. The record is from RNAcentral.
GAUGAACGCUGGCGGCGUGCCUAACACAUGCAAGUCGAACGAAGCACCUUACCUGAUUCUUCGGAUGAAAGUUUGGUGACUGAGUGGCGGACGGGUGAGUAACGCGUGGGUAACCUGCCCUGUACAGGGGGAUAACAGCUGGAAACGGCUGCUAAUACCGCAUACGCGCACGAGGAGACAUCUCCUUGUGUGAAAAACUCCGGUGGUACAGGAUGGGCCCGCGUCUGAUUAGCUGGUUGGCAGGGUAACGGCCUACCAAGGCAACGAUCAGUAGCCGGUCUGAGAGGAUGAACGGCCACAUUGGAACUGAGACACAGUCCAAACUCCUACGGGAGGCAGCAGUGGGGAAUAUUGCACAAUGGGGGAAACCCUGAUGCAGCAACGCCGCGUGAGUGAAGAAGUAUUUCGGUAUGUAAAGCUCUAUCAGCAGGGAAGAUAAUGACGGUACCUGACUAAGAAGCACCGGCUAAAUACGUG